This 420-nucleotide unclassified non-coding RNA is filed under the name uncultured fungus. RNAcentral's name for it is "partial contains ITS1, 5.8S rRNA and ITS2". The record is from RNAcentral. Lineage: Eukaryota; Fungi.
AACGCAAAUUGCGCCCGAGGUUUCGGCCGAGGGCAUGUCUGCUUGAGCGCCGCUGGACCCCCCUCGCCCAACCCGUCCCUUUUCUCAAGGGGCGGGCGGCGGAUGAUGGCCGCCUCGAAUUAUGGGCAGAGUGUCGUCGCACUUCGUGCGGCGCGCCCCGCUCUCGAGCCGGCUGGAAUUUAUAGGCUCGCCCCCGGUUUGCACAUGGCACCCGGCGUGGACGACGCGUUCCGUUUACGGAUGCGCCUCUGCUCGGAAUUGUCUGUGCUUUUGGCUUUUUAAGCCACCGUGUGCGUGUUUUAUUCGUGCCCGUGGACCGUCGUGCGAUGGCUUUUAUGCCAUCACACGCGCCUUCGGUGUCACAGGAACUUUGUUCCCCACCUUGGCCUCAAGUCAGGCAGGAUUACCCGCUGAAUUUAA